UGGGGAAUAUUGCACAAUGGGCGCAAGCCUGAUGCAGCCAUGCCGCGUGUAUGAAGAAGGCCUUCGGGUUGUAAAGUACUUUCAGCGGGGAGGAAGGCGAUAAGGUUAAUAACCUUGUCGAUUGACGUUACCCGCAGAAGAAGCACCGGCUAACUCCGUGCCAGCAGCCGCGGUAAUACGGAGGGUGCAAGCGUUAAUCGGAAUUACUGGGCGUAAAGCGCACGCAGGCGGUCUGUCAAGUCGGAUGUGAAAUCCCCGGGCUCAACCUGGGAACUGCAUUCAAAACUGGCGGGCUAGAGUAUGGUAGAGGGGGGUAGAAUUCCAGGUGUAGCGGUGAAAUGCGUAGAGAUCUGGAGGAAUACCGGUGGCGAAGGCGGCCCCCUGGACAAAGACUGACGCUCAGGUGCGAAAGCGUGGGGAGCAAACA
Molecule: ribosomal RNA, 427 nt
Filed under: uncultured bacterium
Lineage: Bacteria
Description: partial 16S ribosomal RNA
Rfam family: Bacterial small subunit ribosomal RNA
Source: RNAcentral